Molecule: long non-coding RNA, 4644 nt
Organism: Oncorhynchus tshawytscha (Chinook salmon)
Lineage: Eukaryota; Metazoa; Chordata; Actinopteri; Salmoniformes; Salmonidae
Source: Ensembl
AACGCAACACCCUGCUACAACUAAACUCUCUGUGAAGCGAAAAGGUAUGGACUGUAGGUGCGAGUAAAAAUGACAACAAGCAGAAUGUGGUACCGAUUACAAGGACUUUAUUCCUUUACACGGUAAUAUGGGGGAAAAGGGGCUGGACAGAACCAAAGCAAAGAAAGUAAAUCUCAAAGCCCCCCUCUCUAUCUUACCUGCCUACCCACUACUUACCUAAUUUAGCACCACCUGGUGCCCUAACCAAAAUACAAGGGGUGGUCCGCCCAGGUCUUACCUAGUGUGCCUAGACAGCGAAUAUGCUACGGGUAUAUGUAUGCCCGCGGGCCUCUUGCCUAAGCACUCCCUAGGUGCCUUCCCCUUCCCCCCUGGGAACAAAUGAAACAGAAUAUUAAACAAUUUCACAAACAAACUAAGAGACAAAGGACAUCAAAUAAGUUCUAUCUGAGCAACAAACUCACAAAACAUACCAACUCUCAGCAAUGAACUCCCAGCAAAAUCAACCUCUAGCAAAAUCCUCUACAAAAUAUCUCUCUAGCAAAUUUACCUCCAGCAAAAUCCUCUACAAAAAAAGAGAAUCUUUUUUUCUGAACAGAACACUGGUUUUUAUAUAGCUUCUGAAGGAAUGGGUAAUUGGAGACAGCUGUGUCUUGACGAGGGGGCGGGGUCAGCUCUCCAAUUAGCCCUGGAGUCGACCAAUCAGCUGCUUGAGGGAUUUCAGGAAGCCAUUUCCUGAAAUAAACACAUGCAAAUACACAAACUACAACACAUAAUCUGGGGAACGUAACAAUGUCAUUAUUAUUAUUGCAGUGAGAUAGUCAAGGUAAAACAGUGUUUUGUUUUUCUUACAUAGGAAUUCACUCAUGGACCUGGUAUCUUAAUGUGAGUCAUGUAGUUGUGACUCAACAGAAAAAUAAUAACAGUUAUAAAAUUACAACAAAAAUUCAACUGUAAUUUAAAUAUUCCAAAGAUUUUCAAAACAUAUUUCAGUGCUGCUGUUAGAUUCAUAUCAACCAUUUAGGUGUUUGGCCUUUUGCGAUUAGUUUCGGAUGAUUUUGGCUUUGUUUUUUGUUUAUUACAUACAAUGUUUGUUCUUCGUGAUUAUUCUGAAGGUGCUCCAUAGAUUGCCAAGCCGAUAUAAUGGACAUUGUUUUAGAGGCAGAUGUACUACUGUGAUGUUGUUCACUACAGUUAGCUAGGUAGGUAGAUAUAUAGGCGGAUAGAUAUAAUUCUACAUUGAUUGUACACUAAAUACAGUUGUACAUUUGAUAUAGUCUAUUAUUAGAUGUAUUUUAAGGUGUGUAUAAUGUCUGCUGUUAACACCUCUGUAGCGGCUGAUGUCAGUGCAGUUGUACAUUUGUUCAUGAAUGGCUAGAUAAAUAGGUAGGUAGAUAAAUAGGUAGGUAGGUAGCUAGAUAUUGUAGGUAGGUAGCUAGAUAAAUAGGUAGGUAGCUAAAUAGGUAGGUAGGUAGGUAGGUAGAUAUUGUAGGUAGGUAGCUAGAUAUUGUAGGUAGGUAGCUAGAUAUUGUAGGUAGGUGGGUAGAAAUUGUAAGUAGGUAGUUAGAUAUUGUAGGUAGGUAGAUAUUGUAGGUAGGUAGUUAGAUAUACUAGGUAGGAAGUUAGAUAUUGUAGGUAGGUAGUCAGAUACUGUAGGUAGGUAGGUAGAUAUUGUAGGUAGGUAUGUAGAUAUUGUAAGUAGGUAUGUAUAUAUCUUCUAGGUAGGUAGAUAUAUACAUAUUGCAGGUAAGUAGUACUCUAGGUAGAUAGAUAUUGUAGAUAGGUAGGUACUCUAGGUAGAUAGAUAUUGUAGAUAGGUAGGUACUCUAGGUAGAUAGAUAUUGUAGAUAGGUAGGUACUCUAGGUAGAUAUAUAUUGUAGGUAGAUAGGUACUCUAGGUAGAUAUAUAUUGUAGGUAGAUAGGUACUCUAGGUAGAUAGAUAUUGUAGAUAGGUAGGUACUCUAGGUAGAUAGAUAUUGUAGAUAGGUAGGUACUCUAGGUAGAUAUAUAUUGUAGGUAGAUAGGUACUCUAGGUAGAUAGAUAUUAUAGGUAGAUAGGUAUUUUUGUAGUUUGAUGUUUACAAAUUAUAACGUCUACAUUUUGGAAUAGAAACAACAAGCCACUGAGAUGCUCAUCUCUUCUGCAGAAAACCUGCAUUGACUUAACUUAGCGUCCCGUCAACCUCACGAUAUUGGUUUAACUUCACAUCUGCUGAUGACACAUCCUGAAAGACAACCAGCUGGUUUUCCUCGGCGUGACAUCAUCAAACUGCAACAUACUCGGCUCGACCUCGAAAACACAGUGAUGAUUAGGUUGUCUGUCCUGCUACUGUACGACAGCGAAGUGAAAUGUAUUUAUUAAUUUGUUUCUUUAAUUUUUUGGGGGGGAGAGGGGACCUAUUUAUAUUUCGCAGAUUAAUUUGCUAGUGCAACCACUCUUUGGGUUCUUCACAGGUAAACAUAGAUCAACCGAUCAAUCCCCAAAGAAAGAACUAUGGCAGGUACUGUGGCAAAUUGACGAAUACGUUUAUAAAGCUACCAGCGAACUGUUAAAAAAAAAAAAUCUUAUUUCCAAAAGUUUGACUCUUCUAUACCUUAAAACAUCUGACCUGGCUAAAGGUUAGGAUGCCCCGGUGACUGGAAACACAAUGUAUUCUCCUUCAACAAAUACAACACUGGUAUGUAUCAAUAAACUGUUGCUUCAUUGAAAAUGCAUCUGAAUACAACAUUAUUUCAGCACAAGAUUGAUGGGAAUAAACACAGAUCUAUAUGAGCCAGGCUUCACCUCACCUUGCCCCCCGAGACAUACACUAUUACACACAUCACAUACAGUAAAGAAUAGGAAGGAGUAUAGGCUGGAGAUUAGGAAGGAGUAUAGGCUGGAGAUUAGGAAGUAUAGGCUGGAGAUUAGGAAGGAGUAUAGGCUGGAGAUUAGGAAGGAGUAUAGGCUGGAGAUUAGGAAGUAUAGGCUGGAGAUUAGGAAGGAGUAUAGGCUGGAGAUUAGGAAGGAGUAUAGGCUGGAGAUUAGGAAGGAAUAUAGGCUGGAGAUUAGGAAGGAGUAUAGGCUGGAGAUUAGGAAGGAGUAUAGGCUGGAGAUUAGGAAGGAGUAUAGGCUGGAGAUUAGGAAGGAGUAUAGGCUGGAGAUUAGGAAGGAGUAUAGGCUGGAGAUUAGGAAGGAGUAUAGGAAGGAGUAAAGGAAGGAGGAUAGGAAGGAUGGUUCAAGCCCUGAAUGCUGAUUGGCUGGCAGCCGUGGUAUGUCAGACCAGGUAUGACAAAAUGUAUUUUUACUGCUUGAAUUACGUUGGUAAUAUUAAUAAGGUACCUCGGGGGUGUGUGGUAUAUGGCCAAUAUAACACGGCUAAGGGCUGUAUCCAGGCACUCCACAUUGCGUUGUGCGUAAGAACAGCCCUUUAGCCGUGGUAUAUUGCCAUAUACCACAAACCCCCGAGGUGCCUUAUUGCUUAAGUAUAGGCUGGAGUUUCUAGUUAGGUGAAAUUAGAUCUAAAUUUACCUCUGGAUGACAGAAAGAGAAGACGACCUUCAUGCUGGAUCAGAGCCUGUCCCCUAUUCACCCACACCCCUAUCCAAAGUCAAAAGCAUUAUCUAUCUGCCUGAGUAGAAUGGAGUCAGUAGGGUAUCUGUAAGCAGAUUGUGUUCAUUACCUAGAGUAGUUAUUGAUUUUGGUAUCAGGGUUGGUUCCUCUACAGUCAAUGGAAGGCAGGGGAAGUAAAUCAAUCCUUGAAGAAGCACUAGAGGAUUCCGGUACAGCAGGGCCUAUACAGCUGACUGGUGGACAGACAUGUCUGCUUCAGAGAACAGGAGGGCUGCAUAUAACCCAUCACAUCACAAAUAACCAAGGCAGUAAAUGACUAAGGCAGUAAAUAACCAAGGCAGUAAAUGACCAAGGAAGUAAAUGAACAAGGCAGUAAAUGACCAAGGCAGUAAAUGAACAAGGCAGUAAAUGAACAAGGCAGUAAAUAACCAAGGCAGUAAAUGACUAAGGCAGUAAAUGAUUAAGGCAGUAAAUAACCAAGGCAGUAAAUGACCAAGGCAGUAAAUAACCAAGGCAGUAAAUAACAAAGGCAGUAAAUGACCAAGGCAUUUAAUAUUUUCCAGAUAAAACUACAUAACCCCUUUUUUCCCACUUGACUAACAAUGUAUCAGGUGUGUAUUCCUCUAAAUAUCCACCAUCUCCUCAUAUGAUGACAAUGAAAUUCAUAGUCAACCAUUUAAAAAGACUAGACCUACUGAUGUGACAAAGACUACAACAUGAAAAGACACAAACUCAUCCUCACUUGACUCAGCAAUGUACAGAGCCAUUUAUUUUCUCAAAGAAGUCCUUUCGGAAGAUGAAUUAUCAUGCCCUGUUUUCCUGUUUAAAGCUUUAGCCAAUGGUGGCCGGGCUGUUCUCCUGUUUAAAGCUUUAGCCAAUGGUGGCCGGGCUGUUCUCCUGUUAAAAGCUUUAGCCAAUGGUGGCCGGGCUGUUCUCCUGUUAAAAGCUUUAGCCAAUGGUGGCCGGGCUGUUCUCCUGUUAAAAGCUUUAGCCAAUGGUGGCCGGGCUGUUCUCCUGUUUAAAGCUUUAGCCAAUGGUGGCCGGGCUGUUCUCCUGUUAAAAGCUUUAGCCAAUGGUGGCCGGGCUGUUCUCC